GCUGGGCGCAGUGGCACAUGCCUGUAGUCCCAGGUACUCGGGAGGCUGAGGCGGGAGGAUUGCUUGAGUCUGGGAGUUCUAGGCUGCAGUGAGCUAUGCGGAUCGGGUGUCUACACUAAGUUCGGCAUCAAUAUGGUGACGUCCUGGGAGGGGGGACCUCCAGGUUCCCUAAGGAGAGGUGAACCGGCCCAGGUUGGAAAUGGAACAGGUCAAAACUCCUGUGCUGAUCAGAUAGAAAUCUUAGGGGAUAUGGUCUCAAAGUCCUUGUAUUCCAUUUUAUUUUCUGACUUGU
This 292-nucleotide signal recognition particle RNA is filed under the name Jaculus jaculus (lesser Egyptian jerboa). Its description in RNAcentral is "Metazoan signal recognition particle RNA (ENSJJAG00000006649.1)". It matches the Rfam family "Metazoan signal recognition particle RNA". From Rfam's summary of the family: The signal recognition particle (SRP) is a universally conserved ribonucleoprotein. Lineage: Eukaryota; Metazoa; Chordata; Mammalia; Rodentia; Dipodidae. The record is from Rfam by way of RNAcentral.